UUUAAUGAUAUACCUUGAUAUGUAUCUUAUAUGAUGAAAUGUUUGGUAUGGGAGUUAUAUAGGUCAUUGGAUUGAGUGUUAGAUAGAAUAAGAGAUGUUUAUGGAGUUUUCUUGUAAGAGAAUUAAAGAGGAUAGUACAGAUCUAAACGGUUCAUAUGCAAGAGAAGUUUAUGUUAUAAUUAUGAGAUUAAAGUGCUAGCAGAUUAAGGAAGAAUAAAUGAAGUCGGAAAAAUAUUAUGAGAUUUGUAAUUAUUUAAUUCAAGUGAAUUUCGAGGACGAAAUUCUUUAAGGGGGGUAGAACU
Molecule: long non-coding RNA, 302 nt
Filed under: Jatropha curcas
Lineage: Eukaryota; Viridiplantae; Streptophyta; Magnoliopsida; Malpighiales; Euphorbiaceae
Description: long non-coding RNA (JCUR_LNC000315)
Source: RNAcentral